ACACGUGGGUAACCUGCCUUAUAGUGGGGGAUAGCCUUUCGAAAGGAAGAUUAAUACCGCACAAGAUUGUAGUAUCGCAUGAUAUAGCAAUUAAAGGAGCAAUUCGCUAUAAGACGGACCCGCGUCGCAUUAGCUAGUUGGUGAGGUAAUGGCUCACCAAGGCGACGAUGCGUAGCCGACCUGAGAGGGUGAUCGGCCACAUUGGGACUGAGACACGGCCCAGACUCCUACGGGAGGCAGCAUG
Molecule: ribosomal RNA, 244 nt
Filed under: uncultured bacterium
Lineage: Bacteria
Description: partial 16S ribosomal RNA
Rfam family: Bacterial small subunit ribosomal RNA
Source: RNAcentral